AAGGGUUUGGCUGUUCGCCAAUUAAAGCGGUACGUGAGCUGGGUUUAGAACGUCGUGAGACAGUUCGGUCCCUAUCUGAUACGGGCGCAGGAUACUUGAGGGGAUCUGACCUUAGUACGAGAGGACCAGGUUGGACCGACCGCCAGUGCACCUGUUGUCGCGCCAGCGGCACCGCAGGGUAGCUGCGUCGGGAAGGGAUAAGCGCUGAAAGCAUAUAAGCGCCAAGCCCACCCCAAGACGAGGUAUCCCGUUGCGUAAGCAACCUGAAGGCUCCUGGAAGAACACCAGGUUGAUAGGUCACAGAUGUAAGCACAGUAAUGUGUUGAGUCGAGUGAUACUAAUAAGCCGUGCGGCUUGAUCGA
Molecule: ribosomal RNA, 362 nt
Filed under: Candidatus Zixiibacteriota bacterium
Lineage: Bacteria; Pseudomonadati; Candidatus Zixiibacteriota
Description: partial 23S ribosomal RNA
Rfam family: Bacterial large subunit ribosomal RNA
Source: RNAcentral